AUGGGCUAAAGACACCACCAUGG
Molecule: small nuclear RNA, 23 nt
Filed under: Arabidopsis thaliana (thale cress)
Lineage: Eukaryota; Viridiplantae; Streptophyta; Magnoliopsida; Brassicales; Brassicaceae
Description: snRNA_02144
Source: RNAcentral